GGAAAUCUUAUUUCCAAAUUUUACAAGUUACAUCAAGUUUACAAUGUACAUGAUCGGAGUGAUUACAAAAGUGAUUCAAGGAAAUAACUUUGAACUGUUAUAAAUUAUUUGUAGUUUUGAAAUAUAUAUGCUAGCUUAAGUGACCAUACUCAAUAAGAAGUAUAGAAGAAGUACUUAAACUUAUAGAAGGUCGUGCCCACCGGCGCUUAACACCAAUCACAAUCAAGUGACUCGUAACCUGCAGCAAAAAUGGGAAUAAAACCCUAAGUACGCAAGUACUCAACAAGACUUACCCGACUAAAGAAAAGACUCUCAAGGGUAUGCUGGUUAGAGGCAGUCAAGGUAAAGCUUGUCAAGAAUCAAUGACUCUUUUGCAGAAAAGCUUACUAUGGGUGGAUCCUUAAAAAUCCAUUUUUACUUGUCAGGUUAUGUAAAGUUACCUACAUCUAGAGUUCUUCCUAUUCUAGUUCAAGCACUUGGCCUAUACUAGCUGUCUUUUAUCAACCCUUCAGUUCACUGGAUUUCUAUGUGUAAGUCAGUGACCAAGUCUUCAUAUCCGAGAAGUAGCGGCGAUCCGAAUCGAUUCAUACUCAACUGAGGAUCUCCAAUCACACGACAUAUGGAGCACUUAACCCUUGCAUAUGUCAACUCGCCACCGGGUUUCUUAAGACUAGACUGGGUUCACGCCAACCGAGAGCACAAAUACACCACCGUCCAGCCUCUUGCCACGGAGGGUACACGCUACUCUCGCCAUCUCUCCACUCUCAUUGCGUGUUGGCCUUUCUAGUAUUAGUCCGCCCGAGGCAAAGCUUACCCAUGAUGAGGCAUGUGACCAGUUAAAGGGUCCUCGGUCAGUAGGCCCACAUCGAGACGGUCCUUAAUCGAAUCAGACGGAGACACUACACCGACACUCCCUUCUCGUGCAAGUCAACCGCCCGGUCUCGUUUUAAUCAUUUAAACCCCAAAGUUUGGUACCAGGUAGAGGUACAUCUUUUCCGAUGUUGAACCCAUCACGGCCAUGAUGGAUCCACCAUCAAGUUUUAUUUUUGAAAACAUUCCCACCCACUGAAGCAUCACUUUUAUUUUAAAACAAAAUAUUUUUUUUGUUUGAUAAAGCAAGGCUAAGCAUCAUAAAAUUCUUUUCAAAAAGGGUAUCAAGGAAGGAUAAUCAAUUUUCCAAGGAAGGAAAUGCAGCAAUUGUCUGGCACACAACUCCUAUCACCUAAUGCAUCAAACAAGGUGAUAAAGAUUUUAAAACAGCAAGGAGGUGGCAAAUGCACCGGGGCUUGCCUGGAUAACACUACGUUAGUGUUUGUUAGACGUCGAUCACUUGACGACCAUCCUUUGUCUUGGCACUUGUUUAGAUUAUCCAUCUUCAGGUUAAUCCAUCAGCAUCAUCUUGUGGAAAAGCUCACGCUUAACAUUAUCUUAUGGUUGACUCAGCUCUGGUUUUCCACAUCAUGUGUUUAAUUAUCGUACCUAAAUGAGAUGCAUUAUGCACAUGAAUGCAUAAGGACUAGAACGAUAAUAAACAAUUCUAUAGGGUAGAGAAUUAAACACUUAACGGAUAGGCACAGUACAUCACUCAUACGAGAACACUGGUUAUCGACAUACGACUAAGCGCGAUAAUCACGCUUCUCUAAAUUAAACGAACCUAACGCAAACAUCACGAACAACAAACUAUACACAUUUAAUACAAUUAGCCUAAACACAACUCAUCAGCUAAUUGAUUAAAUGCUAAACUUAUCCCUCGCUUUAUAAAUUAUACCACUUUGCUUACAAAGAACUAAUUUAAUUUUAUUUCGCACCACACAUAUUUAUUUAAUCUAUCUAACAAUUCGGCUAACAAACUUAGUCUAAGACACCUAAUUUUGGGAAUAAGCAUAGGAGCACAUCAACUUUCUAAACCACCUGACCGGACGACUUUGCAUAACCUGCCAGCUAAUUAAAAUGUCUACUAGCAAAGCAUUAAUUUAUUUAAGCAAACUAAAUUGGUACGACAACAUCGUCACACAAUGUGCCUAUGCUAACGACAAGAAAAAUCAUUGUGGCUAUAUAACUAUCCAAUUCAAUUAACUGAAAUAAUAAAUUGGCUCACCACGAUCGAAUCGAUUUGAUAACUGCGAGGGCGACGACGGCUCUCAGUUUAGACAUCCGGUCGAGCUCCUAGCAAUUGUUGCACGGACUUUUCUCACAUUUUCAUGCAACUCCAGGAUCAGUCUCCUGGAGAUAAGGUUGACGACGAGUUCCGUGGAGUGAACGACAACGUUGUUGUACCCACGACGUGGAGAUGAAUGACGGCAACUCCACAACUUCUUCACGAGCACGACAAGGACAUAGGGCGCGGCGACUAUGCUUCACUGGCGAGAAACGUCAUGGCGAGCUAGUUGACGGGAGCAACAAACUAUGGAUUUGAAGCUCGGACAAGGAAACCAUGGUCUAAACGACACGGACAAAGGACGAGUGCCGGGGCUGUCAAUUCAUCGCACGGCCGGAUGAUGACGAUGAACAGCCGAGCACGGUAAGGAGCUGAAAAAUGACGACGGGUCUAGCAGAGGAGCUCGCGCGAUGACAACCAAACAGUGAAGCUCAUGCGCACAGUAAGGAAUACGAGCGAUGACGGCUAUGUAAGGAGUGCCAAGUUGAGGAGGGCGGGAUUCGACGGCUCGAUGUCGCCCGUGGCCGAGCACACAAGGCGACCAGCGCACGUGACGAGGAGACCACCGGUGAAGGAACUUGGCUGGCAAAUCGCGC
This 2754-nucleotide long non-coding RNA is filed under the name Zea mays. Its description in RNAcentral is "long non-coding RNA (ZMAY_LNC000931)". The record is from RNAcentral. Lineage: Eukaryota; Viridiplantae; Streptophyta; Magnoliopsida; Poales; Poaceae.